GACGAACGCUGGCGGCGUGCUUAACACAUGCCAGUCGAACGGAAAGGCCCUGCUUUUGUGGGGUGCUCGAGUGGCGAACGGGUGAGUAACACGUGAGUAACCUGCCCUUGACUUUGGGAUAACUUCAGGAAACUGGGGCUAAUACCGGAUAGGAGCUCCUGCUGCAUGGUGGGGGUUGGAAAGUUUCGGCGGUUGGGGAUGGACUCGCGGCUUAUCAGCUUGUUGGUGGGGUAGUGGCUUACCAAGGCUUUGACGGGUAGCCGGCCCGGGAGGGUGACCGGCCACAUUGGGACUGAGAUACGGCCCGGACUCCUACGGGAGGCAGCAGUGGGGAAUAUUGCACAAUGGGCGGAAGCCUGAUGCAGCAACGCCGCGUGCGGGAUGACGGCCUUCGGGUUGUAAACCGCUUUCGCCUGUGACGAAGCGUGAGUGACGGUAAUGGGUAAAGAAGCACCGGCUAACUACGUG
RNAcentral lists this ribosomal RNA (468 nucleotides) under uncultured bacterium. RNAcentral's name for it is "partial 16S ribosomal RNA". It matches the Rfam family "Bacterial small subunit ribosomal RNA", at positions 28 to 507 of the family's 1533-position model. The record is from RNAcentral.